CGUUAGAUAGUAGAAGGAUAAUUGGGAGGCAGGGGCAUGUAAGAACCGAAACUCGAGCAUCACGCUUUUCCAAGUGAAUAGCACAUGCAAAAACUUGGGCGCUGAGUGUUGAGCACGCGGUGAGAGUGGCGGACGGGCGAGUAACGCGUGAGCAACCAACCUUGCACUGGGGGGAUAACCGUCGGGAAACCGGCGCUAAUACCGCAUGACAUUACUGGAUCGCAUGGUCUUGUAAUCAAAGCUCCGGCGGUGCGAGACGGGCUCGCGUCCAAUUAGCUGGUUGGCGGGGUAAAGGCCCACCAAGGCGACGAUUGGUAGCCGAACUGAGAGGUUGAUCGGCCGCAUUGGGACUGAGACACGGCCCAGACUCCUACGGGAGGCAGCAGUGGGGAAUCUUGCGCAAUGGGGGAAACCCUGACGCAGCGACGCCGCGUGAAGGAAGAAGGCCUUCGGGUUGUAAACUUCUUUGAUCGGGGACGAAGCAGACGGUACCCGAGGAACAAGCCACGGCUAACUACGUG
This 521-nucleotide ribosomal RNA is filed under the name uncultured bacterium. Its description in RNAcentral is "bacterial SSU rRNA". It matches the Rfam family "Bacterial small subunit ribosomal RNA", at positions 1 to 507 of the family's 1533-position model. The record is from RNAcentral.